This 482-nucleotide ribosomal RNA is filed under the name uncultured bacterium. RNAcentral describes it as "partial 16S ribosomal RNA". It matches the Rfam family "Bacterial small subunit ribosomal RNA", at positions 29 to 507 of the family's 1533-position model. The record is from RNAcentral.
AUCGAACGCUGGCGGCAUGAUUUACACAUGCAAGUCGAACGGUAACAGGCCGCAAGGUGCUGACGAGUGGCGAACGGGUGAGUAAUGCAUCGGAACGUGCCCAGUCGUGGGGGAUAACUACUCGAAAGAGUAGCUAAUACCGCAUACGAUCUAUGGAUGAAAGCGGGGGACCGUAAGGCCUCGCGCGAUUGGAGCGGCCGACGUCAGGUUAGGUAGUUGGUGGGGUAAAGGCUCACCAAGCCAACGAUCUGUAGCUGGUCUGAGAGGACGACCAGCCACACAGGGACUGAGACACGGCCAGGACUCCUACGGGAGGCAGCAGUGGGGAAUAGUGAACAAUGGGCGCAAGCGUAAUCCAGCAAUGACGCGGGCAGGAAGAAGGCCUGCGGGUGGUAAACUGCUUUGGUGCGGAAAGAAAGGGCUCUGGUUAAUACCCGGGGCUAAUGACGGUACUGGAAGAAUAAGCACCGGCUAACUACGUG